UACGUAGGGAGCAAGCGUUGUCCGGAAUCAUUGGGCGUAAAGCGCGCGUAGGUGGCUUCGUAAGUCCGUUGUGAAAGUCAAAGGCUCAACCUUUGAAAGCCGAUGGAUACUGCUGAGCUAGAGUACGGAAGAGGCGAGUGGAAUUCCUGGUGUAGCGGUGAAAUGCGCAGAUAUCAGGAAGAACACCCGUGGCUAAGGCGGCUCUCUAGUACGGUACUGACGCUGAGACGCGAAAGCGUGGGGAGCAAACAGG
This 253-nucleotide ribosomal RNA is filed under the name uncultured bacterium. Its description in RNAcentral is "partial 16S ribosomal RNA". It matches the Rfam family "Bacterial small subunit ribosomal RNA", at positions 524 to 776 of the family's 1533-position model. The record is from RNAcentral.